CUACGGGUGGCUGCAGUAGGGAAUCUUCCGCAAUGGACGAAAGUCUGACGGAGCAACGCCGCGUGAGUGAUGAAGGUUUUCGGAUCGUAAAACUCUGUUGUUAGGGAAGAACAAGUACGAGAGUAACUGCUCGUACCUUGACGGUACCUAACCAGAAAGCCACGGCUAACUACGUGCCAGCAGCCGCGGUAAUACGUAGGUGGCAAGCGUUGUCCGGAAUUAUUGGGCGUAAAGCGCGCGCAGGCGGUCCUUUAAGUCUGAUGUGAAAGCCCACGGCUCAACCGUGGAGGGUCAUUGGAAACUGGGGGACUUGAGUGCAGAAGAGAAGAGUGGAAUUCCACGUGUAGCGGUGAAAUGCGUAGAGAUGUGGAGGAACACCAGUGGCGAAGGCGACUCUUUGGUCUGUAACUGACGCUGAGGCGCGAAAGCGUGGGGAGCAAACAGGAUUAGAUACCCUUGUAGUC
This 464-nucleotide ribosomal RNA is filed under the name uncultured bacterium. RNAcentral's name for it is "partial 16S ribosomal RNA". It matches the Rfam family "Bacterial small subunit ribosomal RNA", at positions 339 to 795 of the family's 1533-position model. The record is from RNAcentral.